Molecule: long non-coding RNA, 1136 nt
Organism: Cryptomeria japonica (Japanese cedar)
Lineage: Eukaryota; Viridiplantae; Streptophyta; Pinopsida; Cupressales; Cupressaceae
Exons: 3
Source: RefSeq, a predicted model, not a curated record
UAGAGUGCAUAGAUUCGAGUGACAAUGGAGAUAACCCAGUCACUAGAACGACUUCUAAUUCUGCCAAGACCACUAUUAACAAACAUGCUAUAGAAAGCAGUCAUGUUCACAAUUUUGAUUUGGACAAAGAAGAGGGCUAAGAUGAUCAACAUUUCAGUGUAACUGAAAGUGUUGUAGAGCUUUGUGAUGUUGAGAGUAAUAUAGCUAGAGGACGGAACAGUGCUCACCCACUCCCGCACAGGCCUGUUCACCAUGUUAUGCUUAAGAAGGAAGCUGAAAGGUCGCUUGCCUUGGAUGUGAAAUAGACUAAGAAGAAAAAGCUUGCCCCUAUAAAACAAGCAACGCUAUUUGGAGCAACAAUGCAAGUAAAAGUGUAGCAAUGAACAUUGCAAGCACAACAUUUAACAGGGAUAGUAGACUCACAACCUGAACCAGGAUUUCAUAAGAAAUCUACAAUCAUCCGUCUUGACAAAUCUAAUAGAUGCAAUGGACCACUUUCAAUAUGUUUCGCAAAGUCUAUUUCUCCUGAUUUGCUUGAGAAUGGAUAACGUUUAAAAUAUAUCCAGUCACAGAAAGGUCUCUGAAGCUGGAAAAUAAGGCUGGAAUCGGGUAAGUCCAUUCAAUUCGAGAAUAAAGCAUGCAUCCAUGACCAUCAUUCACACAAGCAUAUCUUCAUCCCAUUCAACAACUGAAUCUUCAUAGCAAACUCUGAUUUUCGUAUCUAGCUCUUUGAUUUUGCGACUAAAUUGUCUAUGGUCAUGUGAGGGAUCCUUUCCAAGGUUUUGUUUACUACUUGGAGCUUAUAUUUGUCCAUUGUAGUCAGCUGCUAGUGUUUCUUGUGAUUAUAAGGUCCAAGAAAUACAACCAGAGGAUCAUAUGCUCUUCGUUUUGUUUUCUUUAUGGGUUCAGGCACCCAAUAUAUGGACACAAAAGAAGACAUUUUUAGUUCUCUGUACUGUGAGUUUCGAUCAUUUUAUGCAUCUUUAACUUGAUCAAUCCAUGUUUCAGGUUCAAUGUUGCACCUUAACAAGGGUUUCCCCUCUUCAUCUCCAACUGUACAGUUUAUUUUAUCUUUACUAGCACUCUCUGUAUCAUUAUUGGAGGCCAUAUGAUAGUUCCUUUUAUCUUUACUAGCA